Molecule: long non-coding RNA, 320 nt
Organism: Cyprinus carpio carpio
Lineage: Eukaryota; Metazoa; Chordata; Actinopteri; Cypriniformes; Cyprinidae
Source: Ensembl
GCAAACAGGGGAAAAAGGCAUGACUUAUUUUGCAUACAGCUAGCCAAACCUGUUUAAACUGUUGUCAUAGCCAAGGCUUUUUAUUGGAACAGAAAACAGCAAGGGUCCAUAGAAAAAUACUGUUGGAAGUUUUUUUUUUUUCCACCAAGGCAGCUCAAGGAGGUUGGACACACAAGUACAGUGGCUCAUUUGGCCCAAGGCCAAGCCAACAUCAAAGUUAGUUCACUAACUUUACAUUCUAGUUAUUAUUAUUAUUCUUCUGACACAGAAUUCCAAACGUAUCUCCUCCUAGGGCUUUUAAGCCACAAGCCCCAAACUCG